UAGAACGCAAUGAGUUGCUUCGAACAGUUAAACGUUUAGGAAGAACUAUUUGGAAGAAAUGGUCAGGCUAUCAUCGGCGAAGUUUGGUUGAAACCAAGAUGCAUUGCAUCAAAUUAUUAGGGGAUAAACUCAGUGCGAGAAAUUUUCAAAGCCAAGUCAAUGAGAUUCAUGCACGUAUGGCAGUAUUAAAUAAAUUUACGGACUUAGGCAGACCACAUACCCGAGUUGUCACUUAAAUUUGAGUAGAUAUGAGAAGUCUUAACUUUUAAAUCUUUGUGCAACAAAGCCUGUACGCCCUCAUCCCGAUGGUUUUAAAUCUUAUUUAGGAAAGGAUCAGAAAACCGGCCUCUAUACAGUACGGGUUGGUUGGACAGUAUAUGAAACCAAUGCCAAUGGUUCAGUUUUGUAUA
Molecule: ribosomal RNA, 410 nt
Filed under: Acinetobacter baumannii 25561_7
Lineage: Bacteria; Pseudomonadati; Pseudomonadota; Gammaproteobacteria; Moraxellales; Moraxellaceae
Description: partial 23S ribosomal RNA
Source: RNAcentral